This 465-nucleotide ribosomal RNA is filed under the name uncultured Klebsiella sp. RNAcentral's name for it is "bacterial SSU rRNA". It matches the Rfam family "Bacterial small subunit ribosomal RNA", at positions 338 to 795 of the family's 1533-position model. Lineage: Bacteria; Pseudomonadati; Pseudomonadota; Gammaproteobacteria; Enterobacterales; Enterobacteriaceae. The record is from RNAcentral.
CCUACGGGUGGCAGCAGUGGGGAAUAUUGCACAAUGGGCGCAAGCCUGAUGCAGCCAUGCCGCGUGUGUGAAGAAGGCCUUCGGGUUGUAAAGCACUUUCAGCGGGGAGGAAGGCGGUGAGGUUAAUAACCUCAUCGAUUGACGUUACCCGCAGAAGAAGCACCGGCUAACUCCGUGCCAGCAGCCGCGGUAAUACGGAGGGUGCAAGCGUUAAUCGGAAUUACUGGGCGUAAAGCGCACGCAGGCGGUCUGUCAAGUCGGAUGUGAAAUCCCCGGGCUCAACCUGGGAACUGCAUUCGAAACUGGCAGGCUAGAGUCUUGUAGAGGGGGGUAGAAUUCCAGGUGUAGCGGUGAAAUCCGUAGAGAUCUGGAGGAAUACCGGUGGCGAAGGCGGCCCCCUGGACAAAGACUGACGCUCAGGUGCGAAAGCGUGGGGAGCAAACAGGAUUAGAUACCCGUGUAGUC